Non-coding RNA from Cicer arietinum (chickpea), 1158 nucleotides. The record is from RefSeq and is a predicted model, not a curated record. NCBI's taxonomy places the organism in Eukaryota, Viridiplantae, Streptophyta, Magnoliopsida, Fabales, Fabaceae.
CCUUAUCCUCCAAAUGUUCCAAAUUGCCAUGUCUUCUAAAUUUUCAUGCCCCAAAAAUUAAGGAAAAAGAAAAAAGAGAGAGAGAGAGAGAGAGAAAAAAAGACAUGGCAACAAAUUUUCUCUCAACAGCAAACCCCUUUCAUCUAGCAUCUUCAUCACAAUCCUCAGUACCCUCUAACUCUUUGCCUAUCAAAUUCAAUGUGAAAAGACAAUUAACUCUUUGCAAAGUUGUUAAUCAACAAGCAUUGAAUUCUUUAAGUGUGACCAAAAGAGGCAUAUCAAUAAGUUUUGUGACCAGUUUGGUUCUUUCAUUGGGUGGUAAAGGUUGGUUUGAUGCUAAUGCUGCAAUACUUGAAGCAGAUGAUGAUGUGGAGUUAUUGGAAAAAGUGAAGAAAGAUAGAAAGAAGAGACUUGAGAAACAAGGUGUCAUCAGUUCAUCCACCAAAGAAAAAGGGUAUCUUCAAGACUUGGUGUACAAAUUGAGUGAAGUUGGUCAAGCAAUUGAGAAAAAUGAUCUAACUUCAGUUGGUUCUGUCUUAGGGAGAGGCAUUGAUACUGAUUGGGUCCAAAAAGCUAAUAUAGCUUUGAAUAAGGUGGCAAAUUCAAAUCCAAAACUCGUGCCCCAGAUACAAUUGGCGUCGAAACACACUCUUUAAUUUCCAUUUUGUUGAGUUCUAGUCCUGAAGAGAAGUCUGAGGUGGAAAUGUUCAAUUCUUCACUUGCUUCAUUGGUUUCAUCAGUUGCUCAGAAUGAUGUGGAAUCAUCCAAAACUGCAUUUGUAUCUUCAGCCACUGCAUUUGAGAAAUGGACCUCCUUGACAGGGCUGGUUGGUCAACUUAAAGGGCUUUGAACUUUGAGUGAAGAAGCUACAAGAAAUUUUAUUUCAUCUUAGAUAUAUAGAGAAUUCCAUUAAUUUUCUCUUCUGGGUCACCAAAUUGGUGUCUUGGAAAGACCAACAAGCUCAUCUUUAACGGCUCAUGAAGUUUGUAUUGUCUUCCCCAAAAUUGUAAUUUAAAUUAAAAUGUCACUAUUGUUGUUCACUGAACAGUGCAAAUGAAAGGACUUUCAGGCUGCUGAAGGAUAAUUAACUGCAACUAUGGCCAUUAAAAGGGUCACGGCAAAGGCAAUAGCUAUAUUGAAGGCUAAUCUUUAAAAUUA